GAUGAACGCUGGCGGCGUGCCUAAUACAUGCAAGUCGAGCGAACGGACGAGAAGCUUGCUUUUCUGAUGUUAGCGGCGGACGGGUGAGUAACACGUGGAUAACCUACCUAUAAGACUGGGAUAACUUCGGGAAACCGGAGCUAAUACCGGAUAAUAUUUUGAACCGCAUGGUUCAAAAGUGAAAGACGGUCUUGCUGUCACUUAUAGAUGGAUCCGCGCUGCAUUAGCUAGUUGGUAAGGUAACGGCUUACCAAGGCAACGAUGCAUAGCCGACCUGAGAGGGUGAUCGGCCACACUGGAACUGAGACACGGUCCAGACUCCUACGGGAGGCAGCAGUAGGGAAUCUUCCGCAAUGGGCGAAAGCCUGACGGAGCAACGCCUCGAGAGUGAUGAAGGUCUUCGGAUCGUAAAACUCUGUUAUUAGGGAAGAACAUAUGUGUAAGUAACUGUGCACAUCUUGACGGUACCUAAUCAGAAAGCCACGGCUAACUACGUG
Molecule: ribosomal RNA, 497 nt
Filed under: uncultured bacterium
Lineage: Bacteria
Description: partial 16S ribosomal RNA
Rfam family: Bacterial small subunit ribosomal RNA
Source: RNAcentral